AAUGCCAUGGCAUCUUGUUCCAAACCACAAAACAAGAUGAAGGGCUUCCCAAUAUGUUUUACAAAAUAGCAAACUCUUACUCUUGAAAUGGAUUAGCAAAAAUACAUGUGCAACCAAUAUCAUUAAUACACUGAGAUGUUGAAGCUAGUUAUUUCUUCUACUAAAAGGGACAAUACUUGAAAAUUACCAAAAGGAAACAAAGGUCGAAUUCUAAGUCAUCCAAAUAGAACAGAACACAAAGACAUUAUACAAUGUGUUCCCUUCCACCCACCGUGCCUUUCACUAGUGAGAACGCCAACUGCUCUCUUUAGAGUGAAGAAUGGGCCUCGUGUCACACUGAGUGGAGAAGCUGCUGGAUGUGGCCCUGGAACGUGCACUAGUAUAUACCCCUCACCCUUCACUGACCCUGGCUGCAUCUCCUGCUGAAACUCUCUCUUCCUCCUCUCUCAAAUCCUCUUCAUACAGGAAUGGGUAUGAAGUGAGUUCUCUUCCACUGAUCUUGGUCACGUACUCCAAGACUUUCUUCUUGCUGGUUUCAGCAUGGGCCCUUGGACCCCACAGGAACUCAUAGCAUGCAGGAUCACUUCUGGGCACCUGCCAGUACUCCAGUGCUCCUCUAGGGCCUCCUUGGGUUCCUGUCCUCCUGGUCAGCCUGUCCCCUGAGAAUCUGAAGAGAAGUGAGACAGCUCCUGAGGUUACAGCCAGCCAGCAGAGGCCAAGGCUCCAACACUGAUGGCAGGGCCUGAAUCCUGCCCCUUUGCUGGCCUGAGAAAAUCUCAGAUCAAGAGCUCAUAUCCCUGAUAUGGAACAGAAGGGCAUGAGGGGACCCACAUCUGGCCACACCUGCUCAAGGCUUCACAGCAAGGACAGUAAGAGGUGGCCAUAUUCAGAGCCUGGGUCCACUUCCCUCUGCCGAUCUCAAGCCGCCCCUCAGACCGAGACCCUCGCUUCUCUGACCCCUAGGCGUCGCAGCCGGCCACCAAGCCUGGGGCUUCCUCGGGUUGACUGCAGGUGUUGUACCGGAUUCUGCUAUGAGUGGGGGUGGAAAUGGGGGUGGGGGUCGUGAGGGU
RNAcentral lists this long non-coding RNA (1070 nucleotides) under Macaca nemestrina (pig-tailed macaque). Its description in RNAcentral is "lncRNA (ENSMNEG00000045983.1)". The record is from RNAcentral. Lineage: Eukaryota; Metazoa; Chordata; Mammalia; Primates; Cercopithecidae.